UACGUAGGGUGCAAGCGUUAAUCGGAAUUACUGGGCGUAAAGCGUGCGCAGGCGGUUUUGUAAGUCUGUUGUGAAAUCCCCGGGCUUAACCUGGGAACUGCGUUUGAAACUGGAAGGCUUGAGUGUGGCAGAGGGGGGUGGAAUUCCACGUGUAGCAGUGAAAUGCGUAGAUAUGUGGAGGAACACCGAUGGCGAAGGCAGCCCCCUGGGCUAACACUGACGCUCAUGCACGAAAGCGUGGGGAGCAAACAGG
Molecule: ribosomal RNA, 253 nt
Filed under: uncultured bacterium
Lineage: Bacteria
Description: partial 16S ribosomal RNA
Rfam family: Bacterial small subunit ribosomal RNA
Source: RNAcentral